AUACACAGCAGAGAGGCAUGUAAACUUUCAAAAUCCUCUCUGAGGGGCGCUCAAUUGCAAACUGCAUCUCAGGUUUGUUCAAAAAUAAGGGAUUCUUUCUUUGAUUAGCCUUAAUACGCCUGUCAAAGACAGAGGAUAGGAGGGACAUGUUUAAAACAUCUAUCUUCAUGAUCUUUCAUCAUACACUCGCAUAAAUUGAAGUGAGAUAGCUACAGGCUGUAUCUGGUUGUUGAGUGGUAGUCGAGCUCUAAUCAAAAUGAUAAAGCACUCCUGUGAAUCUUGCCACUGCCAGCUGAAGUGGUAGCAGAGUUGUAGAGAGCACCACUCCCUCAUCUUUGCAAGAUAAAAUGCUUUCAUAAUAUAACCAAACAGGAUGCAGCUCCCUGAAGUGUCUUUAAUUGCCUAAUGUCUUCUCCCCUUAUCUGUAAAUACAGCUUUAAACCUCUAGGUCUCACAGCAGGAUCUGCAUUUAGUUCACGCUAAGAUUUUAAGAAUAUUUUUCAAAAAAAACAACCAUAUUUCUUGACAGUAACUGUUAAAGAGGCCCUCUAACCCAGAAGCUUAGGUCAACUAUUUUCACAACUAACAUGGGUUACUACACUCACCAGCUGGAAUAUCUAUACUGCUACUUGAAAAGAUCCUAAGAAUAGAACAGGACUCGUAAAGGAACCAUAUUGUAUUGACAAAUUGUACCAUGCAAACAAAAAUAACCUAAGUUGUAUUUGGCUCUUGAAGCAGCAAACUGGAAUGCAACUAAAGGUUGAGCAUAAGAUAUAUCACAACACAGAUUCUGUGGCGCAAAAUUAGGUAUGUUUAAUUAAGAUCCAAAUAGUUCUGAUUUAAAAUCUAUUUCAGUGCUUUUGAGACUGCAUAAAACAGCUUUUAGUAGCUUUAAUAGUGAAAAUCUCUUUUAUCUUGAAAAAUUUACCUCAAUAUUAACAUUUAAGGUUAAAAUCCAUUUCUUCCAGUGUCUCUUCUUAAGUCCUAUAUUUCUCAAAUGUGACCCUUCUGAGCUGUUUCCUUAAAUAAUCACAACUGCCCUUUAUCUAAAUUAAAAGUCAAAGUCAACAGUGGAAAUUAGAGUCAACAUCUUCCUCCACAAAUUUUGGUAAGUAAAUACUGUCGGUAGUUGAUCUGUUUAAAACAAAGAAGCAACUCUUUUCCAGAAAGAAGCAAGCUAACCCUUAAAAGAGUAAGCACUCCUACUAAGGGAAUACCAUGUUACAUUAGAGUUAGUGCUUGUGGUACCCUUCCAGAGGAUGAGAAGAGCAAAAACAUUACUGAUUCAAUUCUUUUGAAGUGCUCCUGUGACCUCUAGACUACAAACUUUCAGUCCUAUUCAAAUGUAUCAUUUUAAUUGCAUAUUCAUCAGUUGAAAGAUUUGGAGAUUAAUUUUUAGUUGGAAGUAAAGUCAUUAAAAAUGUGUCAGUUACAAAACCCACGAUUAUUAAACUACAAAAUUGGCAUUUUCUACUCAGCAUGUACAGCAGCUGAACCACUGCUGUGCGCCAGGAUUGCACACAGCUCAGCCAGAGUUACACAAGCAGCCUCGCCCAGCUCACAUACAUGCACAGUACAGUUUUACAUGGACUGCUUCUCAGCUGCUUUCUGCUAUGUUCUCAUUUUAAACAAGCUGCCAGAGCAGAAGGGAGAUGUGCACGUGGCCCUAAAGGUCAACGUCCCUGAAACACACACACAGCAGAACUUCAUACAAAACACUAAGCAGCGUGGGGAUAAGGAGGCUAUUCAGUGCACUGUCACAGAACAGGAAUUUAACUGCAAUCACUCUGCAAGACUGAGAUUUAACAAUUUUACUAAUAGCAGUUCCGUCUAAACUGAAGUUCUAAAAUAAAGAAUGACUUCUGAAAAUGUAAAAACUACAUAACUCUACCAAUAGAUGUUUCAUGAAUUCAGAGACCUCUCCUGAAGACAGCGGCAGUAACUGAACACAUCUUAACUUUGACAAAAGCAACACUGUAAAGAACCACUGUGCUGGCCUCUGUUCUAUUUUGUGUAUUACCUUAAACUACCGAAUAGUUGCUGCAUUAUUGGAAAGAGAAAACGGACUCGUCUUUCAGAUUCACUUUGCAGUUUGUACUGAAGAUAAUUUUCAAUUAAAAAGAGCACGUGUAACGUGCCAGAUUCAGAGUGGAUCAAGGCUAAGCCCAGUAGUGCUUUAUCUAGAGAAAACAAAAUAACUCCACUUAGAGCUAAUGUUUUUAAGAACGAAUCUUUUUGCUGUCCACAUCUACUCCUCCAUGGCUGAUUUCCAGCCCCCUCAAAAACAAACCUGCAAAUGAAAACAAACAAAAAACCGAACAGGUUAAAUCUCCAACCUGUCAGUAUGAGCUAGCACCUCUUUGAAAGACGCAAUAAUAGUUCAUAGAAUCAUAGCAUGGAACAGUUGCAAGAAACUACUUAGAUUAUAGUUUCCUAAAUAUCACAUGUGUUGCCCAAGUGUGUUGUUCUACUCUCUAUUUUUUUUUUAAUGGGAUUUUUAAAGCACCAGCAAAUAAACUGCAGCAUGUGUUGCUUUGGAGGAACGAUAGUGAUCUCCACACUUCAGCAUUAAGCUUUUGCUAACACAUACUCAGAAUUGACUCUCAAGUGUGCUUCAUGGAUUACAAAUUUGAAGUAGAUACACUCCACAUUCAAAGCUUUGAACCUUGAGACUGGUGACUCCUGAGAAGCAAAAGGAGGGCAAAAGAAGGUUUGUGAAGCACUCCCAAAGGUUCCAUUGAGGCAGCUAGGAGAAACAACCUCAUUACAUGCUCAUGAAUUUCAGGUUUCUGUUCACAAUACAGGAUAUCUCACCUGUGUACUGAGGCAGAAGCAAGUUAAAUCUCACAGCUUGCUCCCACAGAAACAUCUGCUGAAGGCAGACUCCAAAAGAAGAACGGGUAUAAAAUGAAUCAAUGCUUGGUGCCACAGAACCUCCUGCAAGCCAGCUGGGAUUACUCUGCUGGACAGGUUCAUACCUCUGUAGGCACACACUUUGGUUCCAUAAAUAAGACUUGACUUUAGUGUAGAAAAGAUGUAUUUAUUUGCCCAGAAAUCCGAACAAAAAGUGGGUUUGCAUGGUAUUCGGUCCCACUCUGAAGCAGACAAGUGAAGACUUGCCAGGCAGCUGCCAACAAUCUAACUUGGUACAGAAAAGCUAGGUUAGCCUUAACUGGUCUAUCACUGAAAGGAGGGACAGAGUUACUCAACUGGUACAGAAGUUCCACUCCUAUUCCUAGGAAGAAAGGUUUUAGUCAUUGCUUCAGAAUAAUGCCAGCAUAACUGCUGAAAGAUCUAAGCACCCAACACAGCAACAAAACAAGCAGCACAGGAAAUGCCAGCAGAUAAGGAUGCAUACGCUCUGUGGCUGCGUAGAUGUAGCUGCCCACCCGCACCCCGAGGCUGGCACCAGGUGGCUGCCAGGUGCUGCAGACCAGUCCAGCCUUGCUCAAAAUAGAGGAACAAAUGUCAGUGAGGCACUCCUUAGUCUUCUAUGUUAAAUCUAUUCCUUAAAGUACCAGGGCACCUUCAGCACAUCAGACCACCUUCCACUAGCCACAGUCUGACUAUAAGUAGGACUCUGCUUUACAUCAGUGAAAGAUUUCACGAUCAUACUCCUACACAACCUCACCCCACUCCUCCAGACCUCCAGUAACACUCACUUUCUGACACUGCAAAUUUUUACAGAAUCUCUAACAACAAAACUCUUCAACAAAUACUCUAAAACUUGGGAGCGUCAUCUGUUUAACAAUUAAGUUUCAUGAAACUGUUGAGAGAAAGAGGGAAAAAGGCCCCAGACAGAAGGAAGGUGAGCCCCAGUGUUUCACAUCUGGGCUGCUCCCAGCAACCCCGUGCCAGCAUGCUGCUGUGCCAUCCCACUCCUGUUUCCGUGGCAACAACAGAGCCACCAAGGAGGCAGCGAACACUGCGCCCAGAAACAAAGAGUGCUGCAGCCCUUCCACUCCCACAUCUCUCCAACACUUCUGAAUUAUUAACAGUGGCACAGUGAUGCCACGGCUGGAAAGCAGCAGCUUGACAACAGCUAUGCAGAUGUUCACCCCUCAUCUAUUUGAUGGUGGGAACGUGCAGGACCAGGCGUGCCAGUUCUGUGUUCUAGGAACUACUUCCCUGGAAAUCCUGCUGCCUGUCCCAAAAUCCAGAGAACUGACACUGCCAAUCCAUCCCUACCACAGCCUCGGAGGUCACUCCAGGAUGCAUGCAGUCAGUGCUACUUUUUUCAGUACAAACGUGGUGAGAAUUCAGGCUCUGUACCCUCUCUUAUGAGGAGAUCAGUCAUGCUGCUAAGUAAGCAAUGCAGAAGGUUUGAGGAAAAAGCUAUGCCUUUGUGGGAUGCUUGUGCUUUCUGGUAUGAACUGAUGAGGAAAGAAGGACUAACAACAUUGGGGAAGACUUCGAUUCUAAGAGUGUAGGACAACACAAUAUCUGGAUCAUAUCUAAAGAACUAUGACAGAGAUGAACCACCACACACUGAGUUAUCCUCAGGCCAAAACGCAGGAACAACUCUCCCGAGGACAUAACAAAGGCUCUGCGUGUUCUCAUGUGUCGCUGUCAAGAAAUCUGCCCACGCUGAAGGUGUUCUUUCCAACUUCAGAAGACAGCAUUAAUUAAAUGUUGGUAAACAGAAUCUGUAGUAAGCAGCAUCCUUCUGGUUGUUGCUUUUCUUACACUAUAAGCGUUUGCACGAUAGGGCAGUACCAUCAGUGAAGACUACCAGCUUUAGUUGCUGAAGUGGCAAGAGACUGGCAGAGAGAACUUGCUCUGCUUUAAAGCAAACAAGAAAUGUAAGACUUUAAUUUAAAAAAAUAAACAAAAAUAAAUCUGUAGCUAUUUCCAUUCUUCCCCCAAUCAAAAUAAGACUACUGAAAGAUGACAAAAUUCAGUGCCUAAAAAAAGAAAGAUCAAAGGCAGUGUCAAUAUUUAAAAGGGUUUUUUUCUAGUCAGCUUCACCAGUUUUAUGCCAUGUGCUCAGCAGAAAGCCAGAAGCUAUGACACCUCCUGCUGUUCCACCACUUAACAUCCAACAAGCUUGUGUUGCUUUUGUUGUUUUUAACGAAGUAAUAUUUGGCUUCUGACAGAGCCAUGAAGAGCCGCUCCUCCACCCAACAGUCCGCAGUGCCGCCCCGACCUCAGAAGCACCCGCUCCCCACGACACAGACACACGCAUCCCUCAGACCUGGCCAGAGCCAUGAGGUGACCGGAAUGGUUGGCAAUGGCAGCACCAGGGUCUGCCGCGUGCUACAGACACAGCCAGCGUCAACACAAAUUCCAGAUCUUCACAUUUCAGUGGAUCACCUUCCUCACAGUGUCCUCCGCUGACCUGUUCAUGGGUUGAUUACAACUGGAGAGUGAGGCUGUUGGUUUUUAACUCCUCCUGUGUAUCUUGAAGUACCAUUUCACCAAGCCUUGUGAGUUUGGGACUUCAUGGAUGUGCAUCCAAGUGGAUCAGAACAGAUGCACAACAGUCCCCAAAUCACACCAAGUGAAGUAUCCUACUGCUUUCUUCAUUCACAAAGAAGAAAUACCUGCCAACCUUCUUGUUCACAAUCUAAAGCAAUUUCUCUGGCCUGGUGACAAUGGCAUUGAAGGAGGGGCAGAAAAUCCAAGUUCAGGCCCUGCUCUCAAGCACAUUUCAACAAAUGAAAUUCAGAAGGAAUAAGGAUCGUUUUCCUCUGUCAGCCAUAGCUGCUGUGCUAUGCGCCCAUCUCAGCUUGUGCCACAUAAGCUCCAAGAACACCCACUGAUGGGGCUCCUCCAUGCCCUCAGGAACCACUGAGCGGCGUACAGUGAAAAGAGAAGUGCAGAAACGUCUUUUAGUAUUAGAAGCCUAUCUUCAAAUGUUAGGAGUCUGUUCUGCAGACACCCUGUAUAAACCCCUUAGGCGCUCCAGUGCUUUCUGACAGCUCAGCCUACGCAUCUCCCGGUCCACUGCUGAGAGCACAUUUUAGGCCCAGGUUGCCCUAGAGUACAACAGAUCUUGCUGAAUAAAUAACAAAAUAGUAAAAACAAACAACAACAAAAACAAACAGUGUACUAAUUAACUGGUGGCACCUUCUAUAAAUCACAUAACUCACGGCUGGAUUGUACUUGGACCAGCAAGAGGACAUGGACUAAGGAUGCUCUGCAGGCAGUAGUACCCUGUAUUAGAGCAAGCAGUGUAACUGGAGAAACCAGGCACAACUCUGGUCUUGCAAGGCCUUCCUCAGACACACAAGUUCAAUCUAUUCUACUAACUGGGAAUAUAAAAGAUACUGCUGCCAUCUAGAUUUGUUUUAUUCUGUAAGGCACCUUUGCUAAGAAUGGCAGUUAAGUGUCCCAAAACAUGCGAUGGGCUGAUGGUUGGUCUAGAUGAUCCUAGUGGUCUUUUCCAACCUUGACCAUUCUAUGAAAACAUAUUUCCUUGCAACAAAGUCAAACUGCACGUAAAAUAAAGUCUAACCUUAUUUUUUACUCCUAAAGGCACUUUUUAACUGUUGCCAAAUCUGCAUAUUACACGCUUGUAGCAUCUGGCAAUACAGAUUAAACUGCAUUUUAAACAGAGAUCAGGUACAGGUCCAAUGAAGAACUUAUUCUCUAUGAAUAAUGCUUCAUGUGCUGAAGCACAGACUGACAAAUAGCUUAACUACACACAAUCCACCCUCAAGGGCAGCCAGCACAGUUUCCUAGCUGAUUAACAUUCUAAAUUCCCCCAAUAUAAAUGGUAGCGUUAAUUUCUCAGGCAAGUAAAACAAAACAAAAAAAAUACUUCUUUUGCAGUAAUAAUUCUCAAAUUUAGGCUUUUGUUCAUUGUUCCCACCACAAGAAAAGCAUUAAUAACAAAGGAGAAUAGAAAGGCAGGGAAUAUAUUCAGGGUUUUAUUUUCUUAUCCCUUUUCCCACAGCACAUCCUUGUCUCAGAAGCCUGCUCAAUGGAAGCCUGGAUUAUUCAGGCAAUGAGAGGGUGCUGCCUGCCUGGUGGUGACACGUUCUCUCUUACCACAAAUCAGCACCUACAAACACAGACUGCAAGAGUCUGGAGAUGUUUUUGAUAGAAUAGGAGAAGACAGACGACUUCCUGCACAAGUGGGACCAGUCUUCAAGGGCAAUCCAACGUUAUACAGUGCUCCACAAAGUGUAUCUAUUCACAUGCUGCCAUUCACAUACAGCUGCUACACUGAUACUCCAACAGAAAACUCUUUCCCUUUAGAUUCUGUAUAAACAGACAAAAAAUGCCCAUCUUUGUCAUUAACUCCACCACACUGAAUGCACACAGAGCAUGUUUAUUUCAGAUUAUAUUGGGCAUAAGACAACAGACUCCUGUUUGUCAAACUCCUGCUUCCAGCCUUUACUCCAUUUUACCUUUUUAUUUCACAUUUUUCAUGCAGUAAGCUUCAGGGCGCUUUUUGCAACUGCUGAGUGAUCCAAUAACAUUCCACUGAAAUAAUGUUUCCUGCACAAUCUUGUUGCAUAAAGUCGAACUAAACGUGGGUUUAAAAAACAAAGUGAAACACGCUUCUUCCCAUACAAGUUUCUGUAGUGGAGAACUACAUCAUUAACACAUUAAGGUGCACGAUUAGUUUCAGAACAGAAUUCAACCUAAGAAGUCCUUUCUUCACCCUUGUGAUGUCUCUCCCUGCACAAUGCUCCUCGCACCACCAGGCCCAGCAGCAUUUUCCCCUGCACUACAAAGGCAAACUCCUUGACUUCACCGCCCACAAACACGGCCAUCUGAUUAUUCGACUAUUGGGAAUACCAAACUCAGAGGCAGCUCAGCCCUACUAGCGAGUUCCCCAGUAUCUACACAAAGAAUUGCUCAUGGGCAAGUUCAAGAUGUCAUGUAAAUUCUAUUUGGCUAAAAAAAAUUAAACCAAAGUGGAUUAUUAGUCAUUACACCUCAGAAGACUGUCAUCCUUAAUGAUCCCAAAGUGCUUUGUAAAUUAAGGCCCAGAACUGCACCUACCGUGAGGCUCCUGGGUAGCAGCCAGCUGUUCUGCCCACGCUGUGCGCACGGAGUGCUGCCUCUGUUCCUGCUGCAGCUCCCUGAAGGCUGCUGAAACCUCCAGCACGGAGCGUCUCAGUUCACCCCAAGGACACAGACACAAGGCACUAAGCACACCUUGCUUAAAGAGAGGCACUGGACUCCACAUGCUCUGUGGAGCUCUGGAACUCCAACCAGUGUUUCAGUGCAGUGAGUGCCUCCUAUUUGAUCAGCUCGCCCUGCAGACAAACCAGCACAACCACACCGUGUGUCCGACGGUACCCACGAGAGCCCACAUUUUUACUGUCAAUUCUAAUGACGAGAUUUUAAAAAACAUACAAACAAGAUAAUGUGUAAGCAGGAAAUUAAAUGCAUUGAAAUAAGAAGAAACCAAGAGCUUCACUCUGAGAAAGGAUCUAACCUACAACUGUUAAUUCCAUACCCACUCCCACGGAAUUCAGCAAAUGUCACGUACCACUCAAACGCUCCGGCAUGUUUUCCCCUCUCCUUAAAACAGGCACAUGCUCUGCACAGAUCCUCUUCUUGGCCAUAUCUCCAGCUUUUCAGAUCUGUGCAUAUCCCCAUCAGUCAGAGAUUAGGGAAGAAAACUGAGACUGAGAAGGGCAACUGAAGAACACAAAAGGGGAUUGCAGCAAAGUUACCAGAGAAAUGCAUUCCCUGCAUAUUGCCCCCAGUAGGAGACUGUCCAUUAAGAAAAAUGUCAUCAUAGUGAAUUAUAACAACUCAUAAUUAAGCAACUCCACAUUCAUUUUAAAAUGUGAAGAUUUAUAAACUGUGAAUUUGUAAUAAUUCAUCAUUCUCCCAUAUUACUUUGUACAAGAAUACUGUAUUUGUCCCACCACACUACAAACAUCAUUGUGCAUUUGAUUCAAAAGCAGUGCACAACCUCUACACAGGUUCCUGCUCCUUUUCAGCCAUGAAUUACUUCAGUUACCUUUUUCUGAAAUACACAGGUGUGGGCAAUAUCUGGAAACAGACACUAGAACUAGCUGGAGAACUCCCACAUACGAUGUAAAUCCUAAUCAAUAUAUUGGAGCAGGCAAGAAAAGUUAGUUCUCUCUACUUUGCUUCAAGACUAACAAAAAAAGCAUGUAGGAAUAAUCUGAGUUUGUGAAGUACCUAUUAAAAAAAGUAGGUCAGGCUUAAAAGUUUGACCUACUGAUCUUUGCUUUGGCAAAAGUACAAAUUGAGUUUACAUAAUGCUGCUUACAUCAUAAGUGCUGGCUGGAAACUAAGCAAAACAACUGCUUUUAAUAAGCCUAAGUCAUUAACAUGAUUCUGUUUUUCGGCUUUCAGAGUUUUAAAUCCCUGAUUGGCAGUACAUACUAUUGAAGCCUUACUUUUAAGAUUCAUAUUUUAAGUGACGCUUCUGUUAAUCCCGCUGUCGUAUCACAUCAAUGAAUGUAGUAAGCAUGCCUGAAAGCAGCUCUAAGUUGAUUUAAACAAACCAUUACUAUUAUUAGAGAAACACAGACACAUCCAAAGCUUCAGCAAUGCAUCUUUCCCACAGUUUGCGCCGUUCAUAAGGCAGAUUUACAACAAUGUGCUUCUUGAGGGAAGCACAGGGCAGACCAAGGCCCGCAUCCACACACACUGAAUGUAAUCUGGUUCUACAGAGACUGCACACACGGCUGUAAGAAGAACACAUCAAAGAAAAACUUAUUCUAAAUACCUGAAACUCAAGUACUCUACCUAAAAUGCCUACUAUCAUAAAGAGAGAAAUGCAGUAGCAGUUAUUCUUAGAUUUUCCCCCUGUUUAAUAAAGUAAAACUGUGAUAGGAAACCAAGGUUUUAAAUAAUAAAAUCAAAGCUUUGAUUCUAAAUUCUCACCAAUCUCGUGACGAAGAAUAGCAUCUCUGUUCCACUGAGAGCACUACCAUGACAACUUUCCAGCACCCACCCUCAGCCAUGCCAGGUGCUAGGGUUGGAAGGAAAACACAGGUUACUGGUUCCCAGACACCUACUCCUUAAACUACGUGUUUCUUACCUAGUUCUUCAACGCUCAUUAGAGACUGAGUAAUUGAACAGGACUUGGGGAGACACAAACUAACGGUUUUAUACAUUCACACUAAUGGGAAAACAAGACAUUCACCCAACAGAAGUAGUAUUCAGUUGCAUGGUAAAAAGCAAAUAUAAAACUCAGUUCCUCUCUGGACAAAACCAGGCAGCUCUCUCCUCCCUGCUCUGGCAGGCUCAAGUCACCAGGCUGACACAGCACUCUUUUAUGAGAUUCUUCCUACACAUAAAAUAGUUCCAUAUGUUUAAAAGCUGAGUGGUUGAGCAAGCACAAAGUUAAUUCAUUACAACAAUGCCUUACUACUAGCUUUUCUUGUGCCUUAAGGCCUGGUCAGUGGCAGAAUCCCAAGACAGCACACAUCCUCUGCUCUCUGAGAUUUUGACAUUGCUUGGAAGACAUCUAGCUGCCAAGGGGAAUGGAUGGAGAUCCUAAGGAUGUUGGGGCCACUCCCAGCAGGGGUACACCACUUACAGACAGCUCUUGUUACAGUAUUCAGGCCUUGGGUUUCUACAUUCUUUGCCGGUCCUUACUAGUUCCUACGCAGUUUGUGCGGCUCUUCUGUGGGUGUUCUUAGAGGCACCGAAACCUUGGGGCUUGCCGCCCUGCUCAGCAGCGUGCCAGAGCACUGCCUCUGCCUGCUUACCCACUUGGGCACCCAAAGGAAAACACGUUCUGGGACAUGAUAGCCAAGAACCUGAUUUUAAACUCAUCUGAUGUUCACAAUGGCUUUGCAGAUCACUUUUUAGCGAGCACUAAUGUCACUCAACCCUGCAUAGUGGUGCGCACACGGAGUGGGCAUAAGAUUUUACUCUGUGUCACUGUGAUGUAUGUAUCAACGUAAGAGGAUGCAAUAAAUAUUUGCUUUACAUGUAAUCCACCAGAACUUAGCAUGCUUAAAUUCUGACAUCCAGUUGUAUUUACUCACUGCUACAGAAAAGGUACGCUUUGUACUAUAAGUUGGAAUCAAAUGAACCACCUUGCUCCAUAGGAAGGGAUAACUAAGGCACACAAACAAGUUGAUAGCAUAGCUUUCUGAAGAGGGGAUUAUUUGAUAAAUUCUCCUGCUGAAUUAUUCGACCCAAAGCAUUCCAAAUCGUCAACCCCCCAACACAUACCAUGUCUCAUUUCAACUGUGCUACUAGUCGUGUCUUCUGCCUACAAAAGGACCGAGCGCUGCUGCUGGAAUAACUUGUAACCCCCUUCCUCCCAUACUGAAGACAAAACAUCAAAACCAUGAAAGACCAUCCCACACAGAAAGGGAAAACACACCAUCAGCUUUCCAAGUUCAUUGGAGAAGCAUAUAGCUACAGGAGCAAAAUUCAUUACUACUGAAAUGAGUGGGAGUUUAGGCACUGACUUAAGUUACAGCCAACUCUGCCCUUAUUUCUCACACAGAAUACCACCUUAAGGAUAAAAGGAUGUCAGCGAAGGAAUACUGAGGCUCCCAGAUGGAAGUUCACCACUGUUACACAAGAGGUGUAACUAAACCUCACUGAGAGCUCCAUGAGAGAAAAACCUAUUUAAUUUUCAACUUUCCUUUACAAUCUCAAAGAUGUAUGAAAUACCUGAAACCAAAACAAGGAAUGAGUCUUGCAAAAAUAUGUGGAGGAAAAGCACCAAAGACUUGGAUCCACUUCCAUGGAGGUGUAUUUCCUCUCUGGUCCGAUAAGCAUCUGAAACCUUCAGUGCUCUCCAUGGCACUCAUUUCCUCAUAAUUACAGUGCUGGAGAGGAAUUUUUACAGCCAACAGUUUUCAACUGACUAUAAAGCUGCCUGUAAGGGUAAGACUUGGGAGGCACAUCAGUGCUUCCCCCAUACUGUUCUCCUGAGAACAUAAGCUCCUUUAAAUAAAACAUUUAAAGCAAUCUACAUUUUUCAGAAAAAAAAAAACAUUAAAGCAGCUAAUUUGCUUUGAUAUCCCAUUUAGCAGAAAAUCACCAGCACCACUGGAGUAUGAUGUACAUAUCGCUUAGCAUUUACACCAGAAUGGAUUUUUCUCCUGGAACCUAAGCCCAGGUUUCCAAUCUCAACGGCUGUAGAGGGCUGUGAAGAAGCCACUGCAGCGCCGUGUCCCCAGAUCUGCUGACGGCUCUGCCCUGCGCAGUCCCCAAGCAGCUGCAGCACUGAGGCCAGGCUGCUCCGUGCCGCCUUCCGGACUGAGGGCAGCUUACUACAGGAAGUCCUUCAGCGAACGGGCAUCCCUGCGAUUCCUUCCAGUUUGGGUAAAAGGUUCCCUUCAGCAGCUCCAAGCACUGGGAAUGCACGUUCACACUGCUUCCAGCCAGAGAUCUUAGAGUAGAGCACACCAAAUCCCACACUGAUAAAGAUCCACAAAACAGCCAUUAAGGAAGCCACUGUACGACAGCUACCUCUCCUUCGUGAUUUCAAAGAGCCAACAAUGUGUUUGGCUUCAAAAGACAGCAAUAAAAUAAGCCGUUGGUCUGUCAAAACGUUACUUGAAAAGUGCCGCAGAAAAAUCCACAUAGGUUUCAUGUUUGCCAGUCUAAUUGCAGGUAAACCUGUCUGCAAUCCCCAAAACUGUGCAAGAUAGGGAUGGCAGACAAUUCUCAAGCAACCACCCAUCAAGUAACUGAGAACUCAUGAUUUCUAGGUACGCUAUAUCAAGUAGUUGUUUUUGUAUUAUAAAUAGACAUUAAACAUUUUUCUUUAACAGAGAUAUUAAUGGCCUGUGUUUAGUUCCCCACGAGCAAUUUUUUCAAGAUAGGUUUUAUUAUCUCAUCACUGGAUAGGCAGAGAGGAGCCAAUGUCUUACACACAGAGUAGGACCCAUGAACAUGGGGAAGGGCUUAGGACAGACACACCUGGCUGGUUACAGUGAGGGUUACUGUACGUCACCGUCAGUGCCAGCAGAAGGGCUCCCUAGCACAGCACAGCGCUGGGGGCAUGUAAGAGGAGAGAACCAACAGCUCCCCAGGGCCACAGGCACGAAGAUUGCCACAGUCAGCGACAGGGGAACAGGGACGUGCCCAGGGGAGUCCUGAACGCUGCUCUUGGUGAGGUGACUCUUCCUGUCCUCGAGCAGGAACAGGUUCCAGGCCGGACUGACAGAAACAAUGCGGCCAAACCGUAAGGAUAAAGACAGUGUGGUCAGAGGGAAUGCCCUGCCACCAGCCUCUGUGUGCCGACGCUUUAAAUACUCCAUCAGAGUAAAGGAAACACGACUUCACUCAGAAUAGUUCAGUCCUCUUAUGGAAGCUGAGCAUCAGGCAAGGGGCAAGGCAGACGGUGGAAGUUUUUAAAACACUGCGCACGCACUUAGGACAGCAGCUUUCACCCCAGAGCCUCUUUGCUCUGCCCUGUACCCGUGCAUGCUCGGAAGCACGGACGGGUCGGGGCGGCGGGACCAUCCAGCCCCGCGCAGCCCUCCCCCCGCCCGCUGCUCGCAGCGCGCCCUUAGCAACAGGCGGCGGUGAGCAGCUACCGACAACGUCAGCGCAGGCACGAAAACCUCUCGUUCUUUUAAAGAAAAGUAGCGUCCGGCUCUGCAACGAAAGCCCUCGGCAGCCCGCCUCAGCAGCUGACAGCCGAGGGCCGCCGCCGGCCCCGCCCCGCGGCACCACGGCCCCGCUCCGCGCCCGCCCGCCCCGCCGCAGCCUCACCCGCGGACUCGCCGGUGUUGAUCCAGUCGGGGUUGGCCAGGCUGGCGAUGGCGAAGAUGUCCGCGGCCAGGAAGAGGCAUCCUG
This is a long non-coding RNA of Numida meleagris (helmeted guineafowl), 13716 nucleotides long. RefSeq lists it as uncharacterized. The transcript is spliced from 4 exons. NCBI's taxonomy places the organism in Eukaryota, Metazoa, Chordata, Aves, Galliformes, Numididae. The record is from RefSeq and is a predicted model, not a curated record.